GGAGGAUAUCCGAAUUGGUGAGGAGGCUGAUUCGAAAUCAGUUGCCCCGCAAGGGGUUGCGGGUUCGAGUCCCGUGUCCUCCGC
RNAcentral lists this transfer RNA (84 nucleotides) under Roseimaritima multifibrata. RNAcentral describes it as "Planctomycetes bacterium FF011L tRNA-Ser". It matches the Rfam family "tRNA". From Rfam's summary of the family: Transfer RNA (tRNA) molecules are approximately 80 nucleotides in length. Lineage: Bacteria; Pseudomonadati; Planctomycetota; Planctomycetia; Pirellulales; Pirellulaceae. The record is from RNAcentral.